GAAGCGGUGCUCCUUAAACUAAAAUAAACCCGCUGCUGGACGGCGGCGAAGCGACUUGUGCCGCUCGCGCCCCGCCGCCGUCCUGGCGUCAGUCGGUUGGAGCUCUAGACGCCGCUAAACGUGAGGGUACGCAAACGGCGCCUGGGGCCUUAACACUAGCGGUGCGACUCGUAGGAAAGUUUAAUAAAUAUGUGUGCCGCUCGCGGGGGAGCGCGUGGGGACCUUUGUCGUGGUGUAACGUCGUCGGGGAGCCUCUCGACCCGCCGAGGCAGCUUCAGACUUCAACGUGUGGUUGAGGCGCAGUUUAGUUUCUCCGUCUGACGGGGUAUUCAUUCCUUGAGGAACUUUCUCCCGUCAAACUACACUUAGUUUCACUUAGUUUCAGUUCAUAUAUUAUUGUCAUAAAUAACAAUGCAUACAUUUCCCAUAACCGUUCAAUUCGGCUAUAUACAUUAUGUACAUGUCAGAAAAGUUGUUUAAAAAUCUUUUAAAAGCCUUAAUUGUCCAAUAUAACACAUUUUAUAACAACAUUAGACUUGAGUCUAGUUUGGCAUAAAUUAAUGUCAAGUUUGGUGCAAAAAUAGUUCAUAUUUACAAGAACAGGAAUCCAGAGCUUUACUAUGUAGGUUAUCGUUGCUAAUUCACUAAAUAAAAGGUUCUGGUUGAGGGAGAAAAACUGGGGGGGAAUAAUAAAUUCUUUUUUUUUCUUCACAUGGAGCGGACGUGCACAUUGACAGUGGCGGAGGCAGAGCCGAGCUCGUUGGAGAGCCGAAGGGUGUAGGCGCCGCCGUCGGCCUCCUUCACCGCAGAGAUCACCAGGGUGGAGAGGUCGGUGCCGGUCUCGACACGGCACCGGCCGUCCCUGUCAGGGAGGGGCUGCCCCGAGCGGACCCACUGGACCGAAGGUGCGGGAUCUCCAGAGAAAACCCCAGCCACGCUCAGGGGCUGGCCCGGCUCGGUGCUGACGUCCCGCGGGAGGUUCUCAAUCUUCGGGGGGGCGCCUGGAGACGAGGAGGAGGAUGAGGUCAGAGGUCAAGAAUUCAAAUGUGUGAACAAGAGCUUAAUUAAAAUAAUCAUAAGAAAAAGAUAAUUAUUAACCUUAUUAUUAACUGUCUUUAAUGCAGUCUUAUCGGUUAUCUUACUGUUGAACACUAUAAUUUAACAUGUAAUGAAUCAUAAGAAUAAUAAGAGUAAUUUUCUCAUCAUCACCUGCAAAUUUGGUGGCAUUUGGAUAACUGGAGAAAAAAAAAAUCUUUCUGGCGGCCUUUUUUUUGGUUUGUUUGUUUGACCAGUUUCUUAACUGUUAUCAUAACUUCAUGUUCACUGAGUCCCAUCUUAUGGAAUGAGUCAAUAACCUACUACAUUAGCAUUGGUUAUUGUUUAUAAUUCUUCAUAACCAUCACUGAAUAUUUAUUUUUAAAAUAUUACAAACAUUUAUUUUUUAUGACUUGAACCCUUGAUGCAAAAGUUUCAGAAUCCAGUUGAUGAUAUGAGCCUUAUUGUUAAAUGAGCAGGACUCAUUAUCACCUCUUUACUCACAAACAUCUCUACAUCCUGUUAUUUCGAAUCAAAGUAACCAUACACAUGGAAGCAUCUCACCUCGUUUGAGCCUCAGUGAGGAGGAGGAGGAGGAGGAGACAUCGGCAUGCGAGUGAGCAGACAUUUCCAUGACGUGGCUGCUGGAGCUCAUGGACACCACUGACUCAGCCGUCAUGGCCGACAUGCUAGACGCAGACAUGCUUUGAUACGAAUACUCGGCCGCCCCCGUCAGAACGGAAGAGUUCGAUAUACUUUCCUGCAUACUUGCAGCAGAAACUCUUUGUUCCACAAUUAGCAUUUGUGUUGGUUCUUCAACAAGAGCUGCAAGGAUGCAAAAGGACAAACACAUUUCUCACAUCACAAUGUCCACGAGUUCACGGGCGGAUCGAAAGCUAGGGGGCUCAAGCUCUGUCCUUUGAGUGGAAUGUUAAGGGUUUCUUUGGUGUAGGGCAGACGACAUGUUAGACACAGAGUGUGUAACCGUGUUAGUUUAGACGCAGCAGAAACUCACUGGUUACGCUGAGAGAGGACGUCGCGGAGCACUGCCCGAACUGAUUGGUGGCUUUUAUGGUGUAUUUCCCACUGUCUGCCACCGUGGCUUCACAGAUCUCCAGAGUGUGCACAGCCAGGGACGUGCUCAGUCUCACGUUGGACGACACAGAUAUCUGCAAAGAGAAAGUUGUGUUCACUAUUUCUCUUUAAAUAAAUUUACCCAAUAAAUAGACCACAAAUUACUUUCAGUAGACUACUCACCGUCAUGUUGUCUUUUAACCACUCCACCUUGGGGGAAGGAUCUCCUACAAGUUCACACGUGAAUUUGACUCGUUGGCCCUCGUUGACGUUCUGGGAUCUGGGCCGAACCAGGAUCUGUGGCGCGUCCGACUGCUCGGACACGACCGUCCUAUCAAAUGGACAAUGGACCUUCGCCUCCUCCACAGCGGACAGGACCUCAUCGUGGACUAUUUCCUGUUUCAUGACUUCCUCUGAGACUUCCGCUUUGGUGUUGCAGCUUUUUGAGCCUGAAGAGGGGAAAUAAAUGGAAGCGUUAGGAAACAAUCAGAAUGCUUUAAGCUGCAGGGUUUAUUCGGGCUACUUGCUUCCACCAGCAAGUGUGUUCCUACCUUGUACAGUGACUGUGCAGCUGGUCGACACUACUCUAGCACCAUUGCUGGCGGUGCACUUGUACAGCCCGCUAUCAGAGACCUCCAUUUCAUAGAUCUCCAGAUAAGCUGAGCCAUGCUUCUCAAAAAUGUCAUACUUUCCUCCCUGAGACAAAGCCUGUAAAUCGUGACAAUAUGAUUCAGUUACUCACCAACUCAAAUGACACUUUUGUAUAUGAACAGUAGAACAUUUUAAAUGGUUAUAAUCAGUUACCUCUCCAUCCUUCAUCCAUGAGAUGGUGGGUUUGGAAUCUCCUGUCACCUUCACAGAGAGCUUGACGAUGGAGUUGGAGGCGGCAGUGACGUCGCUUAGCCCGACGGAGAAGGACAGCUUCGUCUCGAGAGUUGGUGACAUCACGCUCUUUGGUGACUUGAUUGGAGAAGUGCACCAUUCCUUCUCGGUUGGAGUUGGGGAUUUGGGAGUUGGGGACUUUGGUGAGACCGGUGAUCCUGGGAGGGGCGACCACCUUCUCCAUGGACUCAGACUUGCGAAUGGCCAGAGAGAAUUGGGUCUCUUGUUUGCCUCCGGCAUUUUCCACCAGCAGAGUGUAGCUGCCUUCAUCUGACGCCUCAACAGCUGAGAUCUCGAAAGAAGAGUUGUACUGAGUGGAGACAAUGUGAUGUCGGACAGAGGAACCAAUAACUUCUCCUUCGUGCAGCCAGGUGAUAGAAGGUGCUGGCUCGCCAUCCACAUCGCACUCAAACCUGGCGAGACUUCCCUCCUCCACAGUCAGGGAUUGGGGCUUGCUCAGGAUCUUGGCAGGAACACUAGACUUUUCAACAACGGUGGUGGACUUUUUCAAAGUUUCAGUAGAACUUUCCUUAACCAUUGUCUGAGAGGAGGAGACGUGAUAAACCUCUGUUCUGGUCAUUUCUGGCAAGUGGGAGGAUGGAGGCUCCUCGUCUUUGCGGAAUGAAGAGAAGGCAGCAUAUUCUGCUCCUGCUACAUCCAAUGUGGCAUAGUCAGAAGUUUCCCCUUUGGCAUUCUUGCAAACCACGCGGUAAGUGCCGGAGUCUUCAGUCUCACAGUUGCUGAUCUUGAGAGUCAGAACCCCAUUGAUGUUAGUCAUGUGGUAUUUGCUGGUCUGAUGGAUCUCUUUGUCAUUGUGGAACCACUUGACCUGAGGCUCUGGUUUGGCCUGGAUAUUCAGGGUGAAUUUUGUGACGGAGCCGUGAGGUACUCGAUGAGAUCGCAGCCUGAUUGUAAUACGUGGGGUGUGGUCAAGGCUGAAUGGAGGCUGUGUCCCCACCUUAAUGGUCCUCUCCACCGAUCUUCUCUCUAAUCUUAGAGCCUGCUUUCUCUCCUCAUACCUGGAGGCAAAGUCCACCUCAGGAACGGUCACUUCAGUCUUGGCAGCCUGAUCUGGGGUCGUAGUUCUUCUGACAGGUUCAGGUAUUUGGAGCUUCUUGAUUGGUUUAGGAACAUAUUCGCGGGUGAAAGAUGUCAGGUGCUCAGAUUCAAUGGCCUCAGAGAAUUUUGCUAAAGUGUUGGUUGAUUCUUUUUUUAAUGUCCGAGUCUUCUCCUCAAACUCCAUGCGCUUGAUUUCACUCUUGUAAGCGGACAUUCUCUGAGCGGUUGUGUGUGGGCGCAGCAGCUCCUGUUCCUCCCUCUCAUCAUACACCUUCUGAUUCUGUCUUGGAGCUUUGUAUGUGGCUUUGUCGUGACGCUGGCGGAGGUCAACAAAACUUGUGCCAGCAUCGUAUUUAGACGGAAUCCGGUAGGAGUCAUAUCUGUAGAUUUUGUCUUCCUCUGGGUCAUCACUGUAGACCUUUCUCGGAGAGGAAGGACGCAGGGCGGACAGUUCAAAGCGAACAGGACUGUGCCUCGGUGGAGAAGCCGAGAAACCAAGCUCCAGCUCUUCCUCCAGACGCAGCCUCUCCUCCUCAGUUCUCUUCAUGGACAGGUAUUCAUUCACAGGAAGCAGUAGCUCCUCGUCCGACAGGUCGCCCAGGGACCUCCUCCUGAUCCUGUGGUAGGCCUCCAUCUCAGGGGAAGGGGUGCGAUGCCUUGCAGGCCUCACAGUCUCCAAGUCAUCCUGAGUCAAGAGCGAGAUGCGCCAUUUAGGCUUAUAGUGGUCCUUAAUCCGGAUGGGCACCUCGUAGAACUGCUCCCACCUGGAGAGGCGGAUACGCUUCAUUCUCUUCUGCUUGAUUUUAUCCAUAGGCUCAGGGAACUCGUACUGAUCCCGCAGUGUCUUGUACCAUUUCAUGUCAGAGAGUGGCUGGAAGUGUUUUAUUUCUAUAUCCUCCUCAAGAGCCGCUGGGUUCAUGACCCGAGGAGGCGGCACGUCAUAGGGCAUACGCAGCCUCUUCUCAUCAGCCCGUUUCUUCUUCUCCUGUUUUUCUUUCUGUAUCUCAGCCUCGGUCUUCUCGCCCUUCUUAGUCGUCACAGCGGGUUUGAACAUGGUGGCUGCCUCCCUGACAGCUUGCACUGCUGCCGGUGGUAAAGGUAUGAAAACGGUGUCGGCCAAAAUCUGUGACAGACGAACCUUCUUAUCUAACUCCAUCUUCCCAGCCAUUAACUUCUUCUCCUUUUCACUGGGCUCAUAUUCCUUCUUCACAUGGGUGACCCGUUCUACUUUGAGUGUUGCCUGGCAACUAGCAGAUCCAGCCGAAUUGGUCGCAGUCACUCUGUACACACCAGAGUCCUCGGAGAGAGUAUCUCUCACAUGAAGGAUAAAGUAAUCCAGACCCUCGUGCACAACCUCAAUAGAUGGUCCGAAGGCUAAAGGCAUGCCAUCCUUCUCCCACUUCAGGACAGGAUGGCCCGAUACUCUAAUCUCAAAGCGUACAUUCUGGCCCUCUCUGCACUCGACAUUUGCGAGCAGACGUUUGAACAUGGGCCUCAGGGUGAGGUCUGCCGGUUUAGGUCGAGGAACAACGGUAAGGCGGGCCUUGCAGCUGUCGUCCCCAAACCUGUUACGGGCCACAACGCUGUACUCUGCAUCAUCCUCAUUCUCAAGUUUGUGGAUAAUCAUUUGGUACAGACCCUUGUCGCUGAUGAAAGUGUAUUUUUUGUCAUCUUCUCCAGGGAUGAGCUUCUGUCCGGAUUUGUGCCAGACGACACGCGGUUCAGGGUGAACGGUGAUGGUUACGCUAAAGCGCACAUCCUCACCAAUGUAGGAUGUGCGAUUGACCAGAGGAAGGGUGAACUCCGGUGGCUUCUGAAGCAUUCUGGCAGUGUCGACUCUGCGCUUUGUCUUUUUGACGACUCGGGUGGUGAAGAAAUCACGGUAAGAUCUAACGCCGUUGACGAACAGCUCUGCAUAAGCACUAUCCUCACCAUACUCAUUUACGACCUUACAUCUGUACGUGCCGUCAUCUGCUCUUGUGACCUUGUUGAUGGUGAUCACAGCCAGGCCAUCCUCAUACUCGGUUUCAUACUUGUCACCAGCCUCAAGCUGCCUGACGCCACAGUACCAGGUCACUUCAGUCGUGCUAUCGUAGUUUUCAAUGUUGCAGAUGAAUUUCACAAUGUCUCCCUCAUUCCCCACUACAUGACCGACCUGGCCUCCAACAGGACCGUGUUCAAACGGCGCGAUCUUCACCUUGGAGACGAAGACGCCACGCUGGGACCUGAUGGAGCCUCCGCUGGCCAAGCGAGCUGCAGAGACAACAGUUUUCCACUCUUUCCUCACCAUUGUCUGGUAGUACCUCUUGUGUCUUACGGUCUGGAUGGCCCUGGUGCUGAUCUCCUCUGCGGGUUUGGUUAACCACGCAUGUGCCAGAGCCUCAGCAGCAGACAUACGAUGCUUUCGUUCCUUUGUCAUCAAGCGAUCGGUAAAGUCUAAUGCAUCAACACUGACCUGCUUGAAGGACUCAUCGUCGUAGCUAUAAGCAGCGUUUGAGAUGUUGUCAAUCAUCUGUUGGUUGGUCUCAGCUGUGAAUGGAUUCAGUCCACUGAGGAGCACAUAGGCGAGGACACCAACCGACCACAUGUCAGUAACGGUGCUAACCAUGUCAGACUGGUGGAUCUCAGGGGCAGCAUACUCUGCAGUGGUAUACUGGAUCUUUAUUUGGUCUCCAGGAGUCAGGUGUCUGGACUGGCCCAACUCAAUAAUCUUUACAUUACAGCUGGUUCUAGUUGUGUACACAAUGUUUUCUGGUCUGAUAUCAAAGUGACCAAAGCUCUCAGCAUGCAGAAACUCAAGCGCUGAGCAGAUCUGCCUGAUGUAAUUAGUAAUCUCCCGCUCAUUAAGCUCAAAAUCAGCUGUGUUGAGGCGCUCGAAAAUGUCAACGCCAGAGAUAAAGUCAUAGAUCAUCACCAGCUCCUCAGGGCUUUCGAAAGACUCGUGGAGGAGAAGGUAGUUGGUAUGUUCGGCAAGAUUCAAUGUGGCGAUUCCUUCUUGACAAUUGCUUGAUCGGCGCCUCUCACCUUGAAGAAUUUAGCCAUGUAGGUCUUCUCAGAGCUAAUGUUAACACAGCGGUGGACAAUGGCAAACUGACCUCUGCCCAAUUCCUCUGCAAUGGCAUAUUUGUUGUGCAUGUUCUUGGCCUCAGAGUGAACCUUGCCCCUGGGGACGUGGCCACUGUCGUCAACCUCCCUAUCAUAGAGCAGAACUCUUGAUUUGUCCUCUUUGGUCAUCACUGGUCCACUGGACUCAGAUGGAGCACUUUGUCCAAAUUUAUUCUCGGCGAUAAUUCUGAACUGAUAGCUGGUACCUCCAAAGAGAUUGAUCACUGUAUAGUGGGUGUCACGGGACUGGGCAACACGCUCCCACCGCUCGGCAGUGGUGGGGCACUUCUCAAUGAUGUAGCUAAUGACCCUGCUGCCUCCGUCGUUGGCCGGGGCCACCCAGUUCAGCGUGACCGAGUCUCUGGAGACGUCACUGGCUUGGACUCCACGCGGAGGAUCGGGAACGUCGGCUACGUCCAGCUCGACCGUUUGCUGGUCAAUGCCGAAUCUGUUCUUGGCGCAGACAAUGUAGAAACCGGCAUCCUUCUUCUCGACUCCAUUGGUAAACACCAAAGAGGUAAACGAUCUGGUGACAAUGACCUGGUAGUGGCCAUUGCUGUCAAUAAGAUCUUGUCCCUUCUGCCAUGUGAUGACAGGAUCUGGUUUGCCACUGAAAGGAAUCUUGAUGUUGAUCAGCUCUCCACGCAGGGCAGGGAUGGCUUCUUUGUCCUUCAGGUUCUUCGGGAGGUGAAUCUUGGCAGGGACU
Long non-coding RNA from Gasterosteus aculeatus aculeatus (three-spined stickleback), 7861 nucleotides. The record is from Ensembl. Lineage: Eukaryota; Metazoa; Chordata; Actinopteri; Perciformes; Gasterosteidae.